AGCCUUGUGCACGGGCAGUACAUCUCCAAUGAUGCCUAGCAGACGGAGAUGUUAUUGCUAAUUGAAAACUGAUACCAAUUUCCCGCACGGUGGUGGUGAAAUACCCACUGCCGAUGCAAUUUUUGGAUGCCCGCAAGGGC
This is a small nuclear RNA of Ramazzottius varieornatus, 140 nucleotides long. It matches the Rfam family "U4 spliceosomal RNA". From Rfam's summary of the family: U4 small nuclear RNA (U4 snRNA) is a component of the major U2-dependent spliceosome. Lineage: Eukaryota; Metazoa; Tardigrada; Eutardigrada; Parachela; Ramazzottiidae. The record is from Rfam.